RNAcentral lists this ribosomal RNA (225 nucleotides) under Bacteroides uniformis. Its description in RNAcentral is "partial 23S ribosomal RNA". It matches the Rfam family "Bacterial large subunit ribosomal RNA", at positions 2684 to 2925 of the family's 2925-position model. The record is from RNAcentral. Lineage: Bacteria; Pseudomonadati; Bacteroidota; Bacteroidia; Bacteroidales; Bacteroidaceae.
CGAGAGGACCGUGUUGGACUGACCUCUGGUUUACCGGUUGUGCCGCCAGGUGCAUUGCCGGGUAUCUAAGUCGGGAUUGGAUAAGUGCUGAAAGCAUCUAAGUACGAAGCCAGCCACAAGAUUAGAUUUCUCAGGGUCGUUGUAGACUACAACGUUGAUAGGAUGCAGGUGUACAGGCAGCGAUGUCAUAGCCGAGCAUUACUAAUUGCCCGUUCACUUUUUGCC